RNAcentral lists this ribosomal RNA (501 nucleotides) under uncultured bacterium. RNAcentral describes it as "partial 16S ribosomal RNA". It matches the Rfam family "Bacterial small subunit ribosomal RNA", at positions 29 to 523 of the family's 1533-position model. The record is from RNAcentral.
AUUGAACGCUGGCGGCAUGCCUUACACAUGCAAGUCGAACGGCAGCACGGGUACUUGCACCUGGUGGCGAGUGGCGAACGGGUGAGUAAUACAUCGGAACGUACCCUAUCGUGGGGGAUAACGCAGCGAAAGCUGUGCUAAUACCGCAUACGCCCUGAGGGGGAAAGCGGGGGAUCGCAAGACCUCGCGCGAUUAGAGCGGCCGAUGCCUGAUUAGCUUGUUGGUGGGGUAAAAGCCCACCAAGGCGACGAUCAGUAGCUGGUCUGAGAGGACGAUCAGCCACACUGGGACUGAGACACGGCCCAGACUCCUACGGGAGGCAGCAGUGGGGAAUUUUGGACAAUGGGGGCAACCCUGAUCCAGCAAUGCCGCGUGAGUGAAGAAGGCCUUCGGGUUGUAAAGCUCUUUUGUCAGGGAAGAAACACCGGCUCUAACACAGUCCGGGAAUGACGGUACCUGAAGAAUAAGCACCGGCUAACUACGUGCCAGCCGCCGCCGUAA